This 474-nucleotide ribosomal RNA is filed under the name uncultured bacterium. RNAcentral describes it as "partial 16S ribosomal RNA". It matches the Rfam family "Bacterial small subunit ribosomal RNA", at positions 28 to 507 of the family's 1533-position model. The record is from RNAcentral.
GACGAACGCUGGCGGCGUGCUUAACACAUGCAAGUCGAACGGUAAGGCCCUUCGGGGUACACGAGUGGCGAACGGGUGAGUAACACGUGGGUAAUCUGCCCUGCACAUCGGGAUAAGCCUGGGAAACUGGGUCUAAUACCGAAUAGGACCACAGGACACAUUUCCUGUGGUGGAAAGCUUUUGCGGUGUGGGAUGGGCCCGCGUCCUAUCAGCUUGUUGGUGGGGUGAUGGCCUACCAAGGCGACGACGGGUAGCCGGCCUGAGAGGGUGUCCGGCCACACUGGGACUGAGAUACGGCCCAGACUACUACGGGAGGCAGAAGUGGGGAAUAUUGCAGAAUGGGCGAAAGACUGAUGCAGCGACGCCGCGUGGGGGAUGACGGCCUUCGGGUUGUAAACCUCUUUCACAAUCGACGAAGGUCCGGGUUUUCUCGGGCUGACGGUAGGUGGAGAAGAAGCACCGGCCAACUACGUG